This 493-nucleotide ribosomal RNA is filed under the name uncultured bacterium. RNAcentral's name for it is "bacterial SSU rRNA". It matches the Rfam family "Bacterial small subunit ribosomal RNA", at positions 28 to 511 of the family's 1533-position model. The record is from RNAcentral.
GAUGAACGCUAGCUACAGGCUUAACACAUGCAAGUCGAGGGGCAGCAUGGUCUUAGCUUGCUAAGGCCGAUGGCGACCGGCGCACGGGUGAGUAACACGUAUCCAACCUGCCGUCUACUCUUGGACAGCCUUGUGAAAGUAAGACUAAUACCCAAUGACGUCUCUAGAAGACAUCUGAAAGAGAUUAAAGAUUUAUCGGUGAUGGAUGGGGAUGCGUCUGAUUAGCUUGUUGGCGGGGUAACGGCCCACCAAGGCGACGAUCAGUAGGGGUUCUGAGAGGAAGGUCCCCCACAUUGGAACUGAGACACGGUCCAAACUCCUACGGGAGGCAGCAGUGAGGAAUAUUGGUCAAUGGACGAGAGUCUGAACCAGCCAAGUAGCGUGCAGGAUGACGGCCCUAUGGGUUGUAAACUGCUUUAUAAGGGAAUAAAGUGGGAGUCGUGACUCUUUUUGCAUGUACCUUAUGAAUAAGGACCGGCUAAUUCCGUGCCAG